UGCGAAGGGGGCUAGCGUUGUUCGGAAUUACUGGGCGUAAAGCGCGCGCAGGCGGUCCUUCAAGUCAGAGGUGAAAGCCCAGGGCUCAACCCUGGAACUGCCUUUGAAACUGGAGGACUUGAGUACGGGAGAGGUGAGUGGAAUUCCGAGUGUAGAGGUGAAAUUCGUAGAUAUUCGGAAGAACACCAGUGGCGAAGGCGGCUCACUGGCCCGUUACUGACGCUCAGGCGCGACAGCGUGGGGAGCAAACAGG
This 253-nucleotide ribosomal RNA is filed under the name uncultured bacterium. RNAcentral's name for it is "partial 16S ribosomal RNA". It matches the Rfam family "Bacterial small subunit ribosomal RNA", at positions 524 to 776 of the family's 1533-position model. The record is from RNAcentral.